AAAGCAAGAAAGGCAUUUGAGUCUUCUGAAAAUGAAGCGAAGAAGAGAAAAGAACAAUGUGGAGAAUUAGGUGUACCAAAGGGCAAGGAGAAGGAAGCUUUAAAUGAAUCUGGAGGUAUGGAAAUGCUUCUAGAUGCUGCCCAAACUCUCAACUACCAGGAGGAUUUAGCUGCUUUAGGAUCAAAAGACUGAUACUCAAAUCAUUGCAUGAAUUAUGGUAGCUCUGUAUAUGAAGGAUGUGGUUGGGUUCCAG
RNAcentral lists this unclassified non-coding RNA (253 nucleotides) under Hevea brasiliensis (rubber tree). Lineage: Eukaryota; Viridiplantae; Streptophyta; Magnoliopsida; Malpighiales; Euphorbiaceae. The record is from RNAcentral.